CCUACGGGAGGCAGCAGUGAGGAAUAUUGGUCAAUGGGCGAAAGCCUGAAGCAGCCAAGUAGCGUGAAGGAUGACGGCCCUACGGGUGGUAAACUUCUUUGAUAGAGGAGUAAAGGGAGGCACGUUAGCAUUAUUGAAUGUACUUUAUGGAGAAGGAUCGGCUAACUCCGUGCCAGCAGCCGCGGUAAUACGGAGGAUCCGAGCGUUAUCCGGAUUUAUUGGGCUUAAAGGGAGCGUAGAUGGGUUGUUAAGUCAGUUGUGAAAGUCUGUGGCUAAACCGUAAAACUGCAAUUGAUACUGGUAGUCUUGAGUACAGUAGAGGUAGGCGGAAUUCGUGGUGUAGCGGUGAAAUGCGUAGAUAUCACGAAGAACUCCGAUUGCGAAGGCAGCCUACUAAAACGCCACUGACACUGAUGCUCGAAAGCGUGGGGAUCAAACAGGAUUAGAUACCCGUGUAGUC
Molecule: ribosomal RNA, 460 nt
Filed under: uncultured bacterium
Lineage: Bacteria
Description: partial 16S ribosomal RNA
Rfam family: Bacterial small subunit ribosomal RNA
Source: RNAcentral